GCCUCUAUACACAGCAGCUUGAACACAUGGAGAGUGCAUAGAGGGAGUGGGUGUCCUGGACAGGACCUAGCACUUUCCGAAGACAGCCGCAGACCGAAUCCCCAGUGUGUGAAUGGAGGACUCAGGAUGAAGGCUUUGCGUCUUGUCCAUUAUGCUUUGAACCCUCAGCCUAACUUUUAAAGGGAAGAAAAUGGGGGCCUAAAGAGGAUCCAUCAGAGAAGGAGGCAGGGAGGGGAAAGCGAUCAUUUCAUCCGCUCAACAAGUGUCCAUGAACAUCAAACUUGUCUCAGGCCCUGGGCCAGGUGCAGGGACCCAAAGAGGACUCCAAGUACCCCAAGGGCCAGGACCUUGUCUCGUUCCUCUCUCCUCUCUCCGGCACGUUGCAGGGGUCGUGGAAUGCACACCGGUCACAGGAGGGCGAGCGGAAAUGAGCCCGGUGCGUUCCUCCAGCAGCAAGCCAGCGGGCCAACUGGUGCUUCCUGGAACCCAUCACCAUCUCAGCCCCCUUUUAGUUGUGUGAUUUUAAGCAAGUUGCCUAACAUUACCGAUUCUCAAUAUUUUCAUCCGUAAAAGGUGAAGAAAAGAAUACCUAGGUCCUAAGGCUGCUGGGGGGCAGAGGAUCAGGAUGUUGGACGUAGGAGUGUCAUGUAUUUCCUGGAAGAUGUGGGCACUGGCCACUGGUGGAGUUGAAGGUCCGUUCGGUCACGUUGGCAGGCUGGUGGGUGGAGAAAUGCUCUGCCUUCCCCUCAGGCAGUCCUGACAGAGGGGACCAGAGGGCCAGAGCCUGACGUGCCUCCUUCAGAAUUUAAAUAAACUUCAGCCAGAGACUCAAAUUUAGUCAAACACAUGGUUAUUUUUUAUCAUCUUAAUCAUGUGUCUGUUUCUUUUUGGUUUAUUAGAGCCUGUUUUUACCCAGACUCUACAAAUUGACCCUGACUGUGCUCUUAAAAAAUUAAAAACCUCCGCUUAGUUUCACUUCUGCAUCAAACAGACAGCGUAAACAUGGGUCACCUGUUUUUGAGUCUCCGUGGGAGAGUUUGGCAUCGAACAUCGUCCCACCGCGACCUAUCCCUGAGUGUCUCGGCAAGCACCCCCGAGCACCAGGAUUCCUGAGCACCUGGAGGUCAGAAAAGCCAGGAUGCCGAAAGCUCCCUGGGCUCCCAAAGCACCUGCGGCCACGGACAGACAUCACCCAUACCCCGCCCCGCCCCACCCGGCCCAAGAGAAGGAAACAGCCUCUGGUCAGACCACAGGCAGAGGCAGGCCCUGCCAGAUGCCCAGCCCAGCUGUGCUUCUGAAACCUGCGGUUCUUCCAGCGAAUCCUCCACCCGGUGUAUCAGCAGAGGGAGCUCUAGCUAGCAAAUAACUUUCCUCCGACCGCAUCCUUCCUGGAGAAGAGAUCCAGAGACAGCAGGGAAAAGCAAGCGCCUAAGGGGAGCUGGCGCCCCUGCCGUGCAGAAGGAAACCCCACCAGUUGGCAAGGGCGGGGCUUGGGGGUUGGGGGGAGGAGGAGAGACCCCUUCCCCCCGCCCUCCCCCAUGAAGAAAGGAAGUGAGAAAAUCAGAAACCACCGAAUUUCUGCAGAGGUUGUCUGGCCUUGUUCUGCCCCAGCACCUUGGGUCCCCGGGGGCUCACAGCCUUUCUGCUGUCCUCCCAGUGCAUGAUGUUCAAA
RNAcentral lists this long non-coding RNA (1672 nucleotides) under Equus asinus (donkey). RNAcentral's name for it is "lncRNA (ENSEASG00005027578.1)". Lineage: Eukaryota; Metazoa; Chordata; Mammalia; Perissodactyla; Equidae. The record is from RNAcentral.